RNAcentral lists this ribosomal RNA (400 nucleotides) under uncultured bacterium. Its description in RNAcentral is "bacterial SSU rRNA". It matches the Rfam family "Bacterial small subunit ribosomal RNA", at positions 975 to 1375 of the family's 1533-position model. The record is from RNAcentral.
CAGCCCUUGACAUGGCAGGACGGUUUCCAGAGAUGGAUUCCUUCACUUCGGUGACCUGCACACAGGUGCUGCAUGGCUGUCGUCAGCUCGUGUCGUGAGAUGUUGGGUUAAGUCCCGCAACGAGCGCAACCCUCGCCUUUAGUUGCCAUCAUUUAGUUGGGCACUCUAGAGGGACUGCCGGUGAUAAGCCGGAGGAAGGUGGGGAUGACGUCAAGUCUUCAUGGCCCUUACGGGCUGGGCUACACACGUGCUACAAUGGCGGUGACAGAGGGCAGCUACUUCGCGAGGAGAAGCUAAUCCCUAAAAGCCGUCUCAGUUCGGAUUGCACUCUGCAACUCGAGUGCAUGAAGUUGGACUCGCUAGUAAUCGCAGAUCAGCACGCUGCGGUGAAUACGUUCCC